Non-coding RNA from Aedes albopictus (Asian tiger mosquito), 57 nucleotides. The record is from Rfam. Lineage: Eukaryota; Metazoa; Arthropoda; Insecta; Diptera; Culicidae.
UAGCCUAGUGGUUAAGGCUAUGGAUCGCCAAUCCGGAGCGGCGGGUUCGAUUCCCGU